CGCGUAGGCUGCGGGGUAAGUCGGGUGUGAAAUCUCAGAGCUCAACUCUGAAACUGCACUCGAUACUGCUCUGCUUGAGGACUGGAGAGGAGAUUGGAAUUCACGGUGUAGCAGUGAAAUGCGUAGAUAUCGUGAGGAAGACCAGUGGCGAAGGUGGAUCUCUGGACAGUUCCUGACGCUGAGGCGCGAAGGCCAGGGGAGCAAACG
This 207-nucleotide ribosomal RNA is filed under the name uncultured bacterium. RNAcentral's name for it is "partial 16S ribosomal RNA". It matches the Rfam family "Bacterial small subunit ribosomal RNA", at positions 568 to 774 of the family's 1533-position model. The record is from RNAcentral.